This 66-nucleotide transfer RNA is filed under the name Callitettix versicolor. RNAcentral's name for it is "tRNA-Ser". The record is from RNAcentral. RNAcentral also lists the same sequence under 1 other name. Lineage: Eukaryota; Metazoa; Arthropoda; Insecta; Hemiptera; Cercopidae.
AGUUAAUAAACUUAAAAGUACAUAUUUUGAAAAUAUGAUUAAAGAAAAUAAAUUUUCUAUUAACUU